This is an RNA transcript of Lepisosteus oculatus (spotted gar), 1652 nucleotides long. It is a transcript of the gene named 5'-AMP-activated protein kinase subunit gamma-1, with no coding region annotated. Lineage: Eukaryota; Metazoa; Chordata; Actinopteri; Semionotiformes; Lepisosteidae. The record is from RefSeq and is a predicted model, not a curated record.
UGCCCUUUCGCCUCUUGCCUGCACUGUUGCCGUUUGUGUUAUUCUCCCGCUGACAUCUGCUCUGUCCCACCCCCCUGACAGACUGUUCCUCUGCAUGCCAGUGGCUGCAGUUCCCAAUUUAGACGGAGGAGAGCUCCUGAAGUGAGCACUGUUGGAGUAUGUUUAAAGACGGGCUGCUUGGAUUUGGGGAUUUCUGAAGCGUCGAGGAUCAGACGGGCCAUUAUGGAUCCCCUCUCCCAGGUCCCCUUUGUUGAUAAUGGCCUUGUGAUGAAAGAUAAAAUGGAAGAUGUACGCCUCAGGAUUCACCAUGCAUGUGCAGCGCUGGACCCAGAUUUUGACGUCUAUAUGAAAUUUAUGAUGAGUCACUGUUGUUAUGAUGCCAUUCCAACUAGCUCCAAAUUGGUAAUAUUUGACACUACCCUGCAGGUGAAGAAGGCUUUCUUUGCUUUGGUGGCCAAUGGGGUGAGGGCAGCUCCUCUUUGGGAUAACAAGAUUCAACGUUUUGUAGGAAUGCUAACAAUCACUGAUUUCAUCAAUAUUCUUCACAGAUACUACAAAUCGCCCAUGGUACAGAUUUAUGAACUUGAAGAACACAAAAUUGAGACAUGGAGAGAGGUUUACUUACAAUACUCCUUAAAUUCCUUGAUCAGCAUUACGCCCUAUUGCAGCUUGUUCGAUGCUAUAUACUCUUUACUGAAAAACAAGAUUCAUCGAUUGCCAGUGAUUGAUCCAGAGUCAGGGAAUGUUCUCCACAUCCUCACACACAAGCGCAUCCUUAAGUUCCUACACAUUUUCGGUUCAAUGAUUCCUAAGCCUCGUUUUCUACAAAAGACCAUUAAGGAGGUGGGAAUUGGGACAUUUAAGAAAAUUGCGACCGUACAUGAGAACGCUACAGUUUAUCAAGCGCUGUCAAUCUUUGUAGAGAGACGGGUCUCAGCUCUCCCGGUUGUGAAUGAUGAAGGGAAAGUUGUGGGACUCUACUCCCGGUUCGAUGUGAUUAAUCUAGCUGCUCUGAAGACCUACAACAACCUAGACAUGAGGGUGAAGGAGGCUCUGCAGGCUCGCUCACACUGCUUUGAAGGCGUGCUCAAAUGCUACCCAUACGAGACCCUGGAAACUAUCAUCGAUCGCAUUGCCAAAGCUGAGGUUCACCGGCUGGUUCUCGUGGAUGAUGACGACGUGGUCAGAGGGAUCGUCUCUCUCUCCGACCUGCUCCAGGCCCUGGUUCUGAGUCCCGCAGGUAUAGACGCCCUUUUCUCUUAACUCCUUGGGGUUGUCCAUCCAACUUCAUCUUACAACAUUUGCCAUUGAAGAGAUCGCUUGUUGCACAUCCAGCUGCAGCCGCUGAAGUCCGGGAACGAUUAAGACGAAGAAAGAUUUUUUUGCUUUUCAAAAUGGACUUGUUGAAGUUGCUGACGGAGGGCUUGUUCGUGGAGUACUAAGGACAGGUUUGAGAGUUAGUCUCACAUGCUUUGGCUCAAAGGCGAAUGGCUCAUGGGGACUUUUGGACUGAUGCAGUUUUUAACUCUGAUGCAGUUUUUUUUUUAACUUCAUACAUCUGUACAUAGAAUUUUGUAUUGGAUGUUGGGCUUAGAAUAUAGACAGCCAUAACUCCAUGAAGGAAAGGGACAAAAUAAAUCGCUUUACAUAAA